AAAAAAAAACUAGAUUUGCCAUUGCAAGCAAUAGCGGAUGGCACCCUUCCCACAUUGCCAGGCGAGCGGCAGCAAUCUAGAAAAUUCCAAAGUCAAAGUGUGCAUCUACACAUUCAAAUUAUCAUAUUUGUUAAGUUUCAUUAAGUUUGGAGCAUUUUGAAGUUUUUGACAUUUUUGCUGUUUCCAUGGUUACGGCGGCCAUUUUGAAAAUUCCAACUUCAAAUGUCAACUUUGCUUAUGCCAGUGACCAUUCCUGUAAAGUUUCAUCCAGUUUACAGCAUUUUUAUUUUUUUUGAAAUUUUUUGACCUUUUUGCAUUGUUUCCAUGGUAACAACAGAUAUUUUGGAAAUUCCAACGCCAAAUUCCACAUCUUCCAAUGUUGCUCAUCGUUACUGUGAAGUUUCAUGAAGUUUGGAGCAUUUUGAUAUUUUUGAAAUUUUUGGUAUAGUUUCCAUGGCAACAUAGUAGUUCCAAUGAGUGCCAAAAUCAUCCAACACCUGUAUAUGGCCGGCACCUACAUUGUAUCAAAAUAUAAUGGUUCUGAGUUUAAGCAUAUCAAAACAGUUCACCAAAACAAAAAACAGGAUUUUUUCACAUUUGUUUCGUUUCCAUGGCAACGGCAGCCAUCUUGAUGGUGCCAUACCCCACUGCACUAUAGAAUGUGGUGGUCUACAUUAUGGUAUAGUUCCAUCAAUAUUGUUCAAGCCAAUUCCGAGAAAUAGAAUGGACAAAAAAGUGUGGAAGAAUAAAAAUAAUAAUAAUAAUAACUAGAUUUGCCAUUGCAAGCAAUAGCGGA
This 796-nucleotide long non-coding RNA is filed under the name Mytilus galloprovincialis (Mediterranean mussel). The record is from RNAcentral. Lineage: Eukaryota; Metazoa; Mollusca; Bivalvia; Mytilida; Mytilidae.